RNAcentral lists this unclassified non-coding RNA (182 nucleotides) under rhizosphere metagenome. Its description in RNAcentral is "partial ribosomal RNA internal transcribed spacer region". The record is from RNAcentral.
GUAGGUGAACCUGCGGAAGGAUCAUUCAUAAUAAGUGUUUUAUGGCACUUUUUAAAUCCAUAUCCACCUUGUGUGCAAUGUCAGUACCAAACAUCAACCUUUAUUUUUUAACUCUUUGUCUGAAAAAUAUUAUGAAUAAACAAUUCAAAAUACAACUUUCAACAACGGAUCUCUUGGCUCUC